AAAGCACUCGCCACGCAGAGAUCGGUCCUUUCUAUCCUGCAGAGCCAUCUGCUAAAGGAUUUCUGGGAGCUGAGCUGAGCCGAGUCCCUCAUCGGGGCGUCAGUCAGCAGGAAGCGCCCGCCCUGUCUGCUUGCUUUAUUCCUGGAGGAGGAGGCGGAGCUGCUCCCAAGGGCAGGCCACUGGCGGAGACGCCGGUGUGCAGCUCCAGUGCUACGCUAACAACACCUGCGUGAAGGCACUGACCUUGAGGCAACGGGCCAAAGUCCCAGACUAACGAAGCACAACCAAAACUACAAAAGCUAUCUCCACGUACCCUUACCCCCUCGGUCUUCAUGACCAUGAAGACCGGCUUCUGGAUGUCUGCGUUGCUUGGUUCGGCGGGACAAGGGAACCUGCCGUUAAAAUAACAAUCCCAACUAAGGCAGAACGCAUGAUUUCCUUAAAAAACAAAACCAAAUAAAAACAGAAAAACCUUGCAACUGAAA
Megalops cyprinoides (Indo-Pacific tarpon) is the source of this 485-nucleotide long non-coding RNA. RefSeq lists it as uncharacterized. The transcript is spliced from 3 exons. The record is from RefSeq and is a predicted model, not a curated record. Lineage: Eukaryota; Metazoa; Chordata; Actinopteri; Elopiformes; Megalopidae.